AAUACUAGUGAAUCACAACCUCAUUCCAGUGAAAUCACAUGGCAAGCACAUCUUCCACAUCCAAUGUACCUGAAGUCAUUUCAACAUUUGUAUAUAUAACUAAUUAGUGGAAAGCUGAAAACUUAUAUUUGUAUAUGAGCUGAUAUACAUAAUGGUCCGCAACAAGGCCAGUGCUGCCCUCUACUGGAUUCUCUUAAUAUUUCUAGUGCUACUCUUCUCUUCCGACAUAGCAUUUGCCAGAGUUUCACCAUUUUCAAAAAACAAAGAGAACACCAGGCUGCACUGGCAAAUGAAAGCAGAUGUAGGGAGUCCUCAUGAUCCUGGCUCAGGGCAGCACCCUAAGAACACACCUCCACCACCUGACGACGUUGCUUGACCCAACAGUAUGUAGGUUAUCUCGAUCCCAGCCGUAUGUGGAAUUGUUUCUGCCUUCGUUUGCGAUCUUCAAGCUUUUGUUUUUGUACUUCUGGAAUUUUUUUUUUUUAAUAAGAUUGUACUUCUAGGAUUUUGGUUUAAGUGUAAGGGGUAUCUAUCCUUAGGUGUUCAGACAUAAAGCAAACAUAUCAUGUAUUAUUAUUAUUUUUAAAUUAAAUAGAAGAUUAGGUGAUAACAAAUCAUGUAUUAUUAUAAAAAAGAAAAAUAAAACAAUGAGUGUGUCACACUAUUGGUUCU
Molecule: long non-coding RNA, 672 nt
Organism: Rosa rugosa (rugosa rose)
Lineage: Eukaryota; Viridiplantae; Streptophyta; Magnoliopsida; Rosales; Rosaceae
Exons: 3
Source: RefSeq, a predicted model, not a curated record